RNAcentral lists this transfer RNA (84 nucleotides) under Chloroflexota bacterium. RNAcentral's name for it is "Chloroflexi bacterium tRNA-Leu". It matches the Rfam family "tRNA". From Rfam's summary of the family: Transfer RNA (tRNA) molecules are approximately 80 nucleotides in length. Their secondary structure includes four short double-helical elements and three loops (D, anti-codon, and T loops). The record is from RNAcentral. Lineage: Bacteria; Bacillati; Chloroflexota.
GCCGAAGUGGCGGAAUUGGCAGACGCGCUACGUUCAGGGCGUAGUGUCCUUAUGGACGUGGGAGUUCGAGUCUCCCCUUCGGCA